RNAcentral lists this long non-coding RNA (1954 nucleotides) under Marmota monax (woodchuck). Lineage: Eukaryota; Metazoa; Chordata; Mammalia; Rodentia; Sciuridae. The record is from RNAcentral.
GGCAGGGGGGUGCCCCUCACUCUCAGACAUGGUUCACUUCUGAUUUAGGGUUCUCUGGAGGUACAGAAUCAACAGGAAGUAUAAUUAUAAAAGGAGGACUUAUUAGAUUGGCUUACCCAACCAGAAGCUGGAUAGUCCACAAUGGCGGUUGGUAGGCUGGAGAGCUGGAAGAACCAGGAGCUGAGUAGUUCAAGAGGCUGAAGCCCCAGAACUAGAGGGAACAACGGUGCUAUCCUAGUCCCAGACGGAAGAUUUCUGGAGAUCCACUUCUGAAGAGUGAAGAAGUGAGUCCAGUAUCCUCAGAGGAUCACAGAAGCAAUCAAGAACCCAUCCAAGAAGAAUCAGCUAGCAUCUCUGCUGUUUUCUUCUUCUAGUUUUUAUUCCAUCCAAGCCAUCAUCCUAUCAGAUGGUGCUGCCCACGCUUAGGGAGGGUCUCCAUUUCAGUUGGCUAUCCCACAUGCCAAUCAUUCCUAGACACAACCUCAUUGACACACCCAGGAGCCUCUUAAUCAUUGGCAUAUCUUAAUCCAAUCAAGUUGACAAUUAACCAUUACAGCUUCUCUCUCCCACCAGAAGCUAAAGGAGCACUGGGUCCUCAAGUUCUGUGUAGAAAGCCUUGGGAGAACUGGGUUGAAUUCCAGUUUUCUUUUAUCUUAACUCAUUCAGACUUGAAGAAAAGGGCAGAAAGCCUAGAAUGAGGGAGUGAUAGUGGAGCAAAGGAACACUGAUGUUUUCUGAAGCCCAGUCAGAGAAAAUGAUCCUUUUGUAUUUGUCUUAUUCUGCAUGUAGCUUUAGCGAAUUUUUUCAUUCUAAAUCGUCCUUAAAAAGUGAGUCUCUUGGGCCGGGUUUGUGGCUCAGUGGUGGAGCGCUUGCCUAGCAUGUGUGAGGCACUGGAUUUGAUCCCCAGCACCAUAUAAACAAAUUAAAUAAACAAAAUAAAGGUAGUGUGUCCACCUACAACUAAAAAAAUUUAAAAAGCAACUCUUUUUUGUUUUGGAAGGGGGGGAUACCAGGGAUUGAACUCUGGGGUGCUCCAACACCAAGCCACACCCCCAGCCCUAUUUUGUGUUUUACUUAGAGACAGGCCCUCAUGGAGUUGCUUAGGGCCUCAUUUCUGCUGAGGCUGGCUUUGAACUAGCAAUCCUCCUGCCUCAGCCCCUUGAGCCACUGGGAUAAUAGGCAUGCGCCACCACAUCCAGCAAGUGAGUCUCUUUUUAAUCCUCCAAAGCACUAAAGGCAUGGGGGAAAUGGUGGGUUUAACUAUGUCAAACGUAAGUAUUUCUGUUCAACAAAUGGCAGACCAAGAGGGCAGUGACUAAAAUUGAAAUUUUCAACAAGAAAAAGGAAAUCCAAAAGAAAAAUUAGCUAUGCCAGUGGUGCACAGCAAAAGCCACCACCCUAUGCUCCUCUGAAGUGUUGACAAUGAGGUGGGGGACAGUAGCUUAGGUGUUUUGUUGGUGUCGACUGCUCCAUGGCACCCUGAAAAGCAAGCUGGCAGUAUAUUUAAGUAAGUGGUGAAGGGUCCCUGACCCAGAGAGCACUGAAGUGUGUUCCCCAGAGAAAUUUCUCCCCAGGUCCACAAAGGGAUGUGUGAAGUGAUGCUCUGGCAAUGUUUGGCAGUCACCGUGUUGGGAGCCAGCAAGGUCUUGGGUAAUUAAAAGGAGACUUUGCAUACUAUGGAAUACUGCGCAAACAGAAAGGAGAGCUAGAAGCAUGUACAGAAAAAUGGAUAAUGGCUCUUAAAAAUAUUGUUGAAUAUUGUAAGAAAUGAGAUUUGUAGCUUAACGCCAUGUGUGUAAAUGUCAGGCACACAGCACAGUAUGUCUUACAAGGAUAUGUGCAUUUGACAGUGGCUGCUGUAUUGAGUCAGAAUUUAAAUGGGCUGUAAGUGUAAAUAUAUACCAGAUGUCAAAGAAAAAGUUAAGUAUCUCAAUUUGUUUAUCAUAGUUAUGUG